ACUCCCAAACCCCUGUGAACAUACCUAUUUGUUGCCUCGGCGGUGCCUGUUCCGACAGCCCGCCAGAGGACCCCAAACCCUGAUUACAUUUAAGAAGUCUUCUGAGUAAACCGAUUAAAUAAAUCAAAACUUUCAACAACGGAUCUCUUGGUUCUGGCAUCGAUGAAGAACGCAGCGAAAUGCGAUAAGUAAUGUGAAUUGCAGAAUUCAGUGAAUCAUCGAAUCUUUGAACGCACAUUGCGCCCGCUAGUAUUCUGGCGGGCAUGCCUGUCCGAGCGUCAUUUCAACCCUCAAGCCCCCGGGCUUGGUGUUGGGGAUCGGCGAGCCUCCGCGCCCGCCGUCCCCUAAAUCUAGUGGCGGUCUCGCUGUAGCUUCCUCUGCGUAGUAGCACACCUCGCACUGGGAAACAGCGCGGCCACGCCGUUAAACCCCCAACUUCUGAACGUUUGACCUCGGAUCAGGUAGGAAUACCCGCUGAACUUAAGCAUAUCAAUAAGCGG
RNAcentral lists this ribosomal RNA (500 nucleotides) under Ilyonectria sp. RNAcentral's name for it is "eukaryotic LSU rRNA". The stretch from base 128 to 281 matches the Rfam family "5.8S ribosomal RNA". Lineage: Eukaryota; Fungi; Ascomycota; Sordariomycetes; Hypocreales; Nectriaceae. The record is from RNAcentral.